AUAUGGUCAUGUGUAAAUCAUGCAUUUUGAAUGUUUUUCAUGCGGCUUUGCAAUAUAAAAGCCGUCCCUGUUUGUUCAUUCCGCACAUUUGGAUGUUCAACAGUUUGCUGUAGAUCCAGACAAUGAAGAUGUUGCUGCUUGUGUUCGUGUUGGCACUGAUGACGUUUGCCUGCGUUACUGCUUACCCUCCCAAAGACAAAGACCGCUCGCGUGUCCUCCUGGAAACACUAGCCCCUGUGUAUGCCAGAUAUGUUGUUUGCUACUCGUGUGGUUCACGGUACAAUAAGUCCAAGAGCGACUGUGACGAUGACGUCAGGAAGUUAGCAGUGCAGGCCUGCACCCGAUUCCCAUGCACCUUCCCGCUUAAUGAUCGUCUAGAAAGACUACGCAAGUUUCUCACGCUCAGGUACCAGACAGAAGCAAGGCGUUGGUGUGGCGCGGAUUGGGUCAAGAAAUAUAUCUGAAAAAGAUGUUUGUAUUUGUACACCCUGGCUGACAAUAAAUGCUGAUUGAAAACUCAA
This is an RNA transcript of Haliotis rubra (blacklip abalone), 521 nucleotides long. RefSeq lists it as uncharacterized. The transcript has 3 exons. The record is from RefSeq and is a predicted model, not a curated record. NCBI's taxonomy places the organism in Eukaryota, Metazoa, Mollusca, Gastropoda, Lepetellida, Haliotidae.